AACCGUGCGAAGGUAGCGCAAUCACUUGUCUUUUAAAUGAAGACCUGUAUGAAUGGCACGACGAGGGCUUAACUGUCUCCUCCCUCAAGUCAAUGAAAUUGAUCUCCCCGUGCAGAAGCGGGGAUGAGCCCAUAAGACGAGAAGACCCUAUGGAGCUUUAGACAUACGGUAUAUCCCGUUAAACACCCCUGGACAAAGGACUUAACUAAAGGAACCAUACCCCCCUGUCUUUGGUUGGGGCGACCACGGGGAAACAAAGAACCCCCAUGUGGAAGGGGAGCACUGCUCCUACAACCAAGAGCCGCAACUCUAGUGAACAGAACUUCUGACCAAAUAUGAUCCGGCAGUGCCGAUCAACGGACCGAGUUACCCUAGGGAUAACAGCGCAAUCCUCUUUUAGAGCCCAUAUCGACAAGAGGGUUUACGACCUC
RNAcentral lists this ribosomal RNA (431 nucleotides) under Brama japonica. RNAcentral describes it as "partial 16S ribosomal RNA". It matches the Rfam family "Bacterial large subunit ribosomal RNA", at positions 1944 to 2527 of the family's 2925-position model. Lineage: Eukaryota; Metazoa; Chordata; Actinopteri; Scombriformes; Bramidae. The record is from RNAcentral.